AGUUACCAUCAUUAAGUUGGGGACUCUAAAGAUACUGCCCCGGUUAACGGGAGAAGUGGGGAUGACGUCAAGUCCUCAUGGCCUUUAUGUCCAGGGCUACACACGUGCCACAAUGGGUUGUACAAAGGGUUGCGAACUCGCGAGAGUAAGCCAAUCCCAAAAAGCAACUCUUAGCUCGGAUUGGAGUCUGCAACUCGACUCCAUGAAGCUGGAAUCGCUAGUAAUCGUGGAUCAGCAUGCCACGGUGAAUACGUUCCCGGGCCUU
This 265-nucleotide ribosomal RNA is filed under the name uncultured Desulfobacteraceae bacterium. RNAcentral describes it as "partial 16S ribosomal RNA". It matches the Rfam family "Bacterial small subunit ribosomal RNA", at positions 1113 to 1382 of the family's 1533-position model. The record is from RNAcentral. Lineage: Bacteria; Pseudomonadati; Thermodesulfobacteriota; Desulfobacteria; Desulfobacterales; Desulfobacteraceae.